CCUAACACAUGCAAGUCGAACGGCAGCACAGGAGAGCUUGCUCUCUGGGUGGCGAGUGGCGGACGGGUGAGGAAUACAUCGGAAUCUACCUUUUCGUGGGGGAUAACGUAGGGAAACUUACGCUAAUACCGCAUAAGACCUUCGGGUGAAAGCCGGGGACCUUCGGGCCUGGCGCGGAUAGAUGAGCCGAUGUCGGAUUAGCUUGUUGGCGGGGUAAAAGCCCACCAAGGCGACGAUCCGUAGCUGGUCUGAGAGGAUGAUCAGCCACACUGGAACUGAGACACGGUCCAGACUCCUACGGGAGGCAGCAGUGGGGAAUAUUGGACAAUGGGCGCAAGCCUGAUCCAGCCAUACCGCGUGGGUGAAGAAGGCCUUCGGGUUGUAAAGCCCUUUUGUUGGGAAAGAAAUCCUGCCGGUUAAUAACCAGUAGGGAUGACGGUACCCAAAGA
Molecule: ribosomal RNA, 449 nt
Filed under: gamma proteobacterium BAL145
Lineage: Bacteria; Pseudomonadati; Pseudomonadota; Gammaproteobacteria
Description: bacterial SSU rRNA
Rfam family: Bacterial small subunit ribosomal RNA
Source: RNAcentral